CACUACACUAGUGGGUGAGGAUCUUUAGAGGUUUCCUACUUUGGGAACUUGAAGAGAACCUAGGAGCACUCAUUAUAACAAAGUGGAGGAGGCAAGGAGGGAAGCUAGGCUCAAGGAUUUCAAGGAGCAAAGGGCUUGAAGGUGGUCCAUCCUUGGUCUCAAGUCUAGAUCAAGAGGUAUAAGACUAACCUUCACUUUGUUCUUGAUUCUAAAAUUUGUUUUGAUGCAUUAUAUAUAAACCUAUGAACCUUGAAGGGGAUUUGCAUGACUAUAGCUUUGAUAAAUUGUUAUAAAUGCUUCCGCUGCUUUCGUAUAUUAAAUUUGAUUUGUAUAUGCAUAAUAGUCAUUAUGAAAUCCCAUGCUAGAAUCUCAUAAAUUUCCCUUCAAGUGGUAUCAGAGCCAAUGGUUUAUGUAUAUUGUGUCCUUUUUGGAUUUUAUGCAUAUGGGUAUUAAUGUUAUGUAUGACAUAUUAUUGUUUCAUUCAAAGUAUGUUUAUCUUUUGUUUUUCAAUAGUUGAAAAAUGUUAGUCAAAAAUUGAGAAAGAUAUGUUUGCAAAAGUGUUUUGUAUGCAUGAAUGAAAAAUGAGUUUAGAACUAGUAUGACAUAUUAUUUCUUCAUUUAAAAGUAUGUUUGUCUUUUGUUUUUCAAUGGUUGAAAAAUGUAAAUCAAGAGUUGAAAAAGAUAUGCAUGUAAAAGUUGUUUUGUAUGCAUGAAUGAAGAAUAAGUCAUGAACAAAAUUUGGGGUUUUGUUCAAAAGGGUAGGCACGGUUUUGGGGGUGGUUUUGGGUUGUGUUUGUGUUUUAUUGUAAACCACUCACACAUCCUAUUAAAGCUUAAAAGAAGUGUUCUUGUCACUUUUGUUUUUGGGUUUGAAAAAUCACCAAGAAUAUAUAAAUCUUGAAAUUGUGCUCAUGGUUUUGUUCUUGGUGUUCAUGGUUUGGUUUUGGGUGAAAAUGGUUUUUAAUUGAUUUUCAUGCAUGGUUUUAUGGUUUUGGAUUAUGUUCUUACCAUCCAUAACCAUAUUAAAACUUAUAAAACCCUAGACUUGACUAGGAGGAUUUCCAUCACCCAUCUCACCUAAGUUUUAAUGGCAAAACCAAGUGACAAGCAAAAUUUGAUUUUUCUUACAUAAUGUGGCUUUUAAUGCAUGUUGUGUAAGAUUGUGUAAGAGACCUCCCAUCCCCUUAAUGUGGCCGGCCUCCCUAGUGGAUUUAUCCACUUGUGGGGCUAUUUUGUAAUCUUUGAAAAGUUGAUAUUUACUUUGAAAUAUUUACGGUUUUACCCCUAACUUUUCAUAUUUACAUUUAGGCCCCUACUAACUAGAAAGUUAAAAUAUUUGAUUUUAAUUUUGUUAGUUGUUUAAACUCAUAAUACUAUUAUGCCCAUAUGCACUAAAUCUAAAUGUUUAUGUUGCAUUCCAUCAUGAUUAUUUAAAUGUGUUUAAGUAGUUAUGAAAUGGAUGACUUUGGACUUAUGCCUUAAACGAUAAUUGAGCUAUAUGAUAAGGCGUUAAAAUCAAAUUGUUUGAACCUUGGGAAUGUGUUUUUAAUUACUGUUUAAUUGGACCUUGUCACGUUUGACGUUAAUCUUUCUCUCCCCUUUUAGUAUAUGUAAUUCAUAGGAAUUUGUACAAAUCGGUUUGUAAUU
This 1647-nucleotide long non-coding RNA is filed under the name Malus domestica (apple). RNAcentral's name for it is "long non-coding RNA (MDOM_LNC004358)". The record is from RNAcentral. Lineage: Eukaryota; Viridiplantae; Streptophyta; Magnoliopsida; Rosales; Rosaceae.